RNAcentral lists this transfer RNA (71 nucleotides) under Odocoileus virginianus texanus. It matches the Rfam family "tRNA". From Rfam's summary of the family: Transfer RNA (tRNA) molecules are approximately 80 nucleotides in length. Their secondary structure includes four short double-helical elements and three loops (D, anti-codon, and T loops). RNAcentral also lists the same sequence under 5 other names. The record is from Rfam by way of RNAcentral. Lineage: Eukaryota; Metazoa; Chordata; Mammalia; Artiodactyla; Cervidae.
UCCCUGGUGGCUCAGUGGUAAAGCAUCUGCCUGCAAUGCAGGAGACAUGGGUUCGAUUCCUGGGUUGGGAA